Molecule: non-coding RNA, 446 nt
Organism: Erythranthe guttata (spotted monkey flower)
Lineage: Eukaryota; Viridiplantae; Streptophyta; Magnoliopsida; Lamiales; Phrymaceae
Source: RefSeq, a predicted model, not a curated record
GUCAAAUUGUUGCUGAAGGACGAUGGUCCUCAAAUGAUCCAAGUCAAGUUGUUCAUUUUGUUCCAUUGGGUCCUAAUGCUACGAGAGUUUGGGUAGAAACAGCAAAAGUCCCAGCCGCGUCUCUCUGGAGAUCUACUUCUGAGAUGGAGUUUAUUGAAGAUGCCAUAGGAACUACAGUAGCAUGGCCAACAGAUAAAGUGGUUAUAUUGUAGAGUACCGGAAAUGGAAGGAGAAAAUGGAGAAAAGUAAACAUGCAUGGGCAGUCACUAGAAACCUUUUUGGGAGCUGAAUGUUAGAGUAAAAUAUUUUUUUAUUGUUUAUUUUUUAAAUAGCGUAGUAGGUUGUUCUCGGAUGUUAAAGUUAUCAGGAUACUUCAUUAAACAUAAUAAGUACUUUGUUCUUUUAGUAAUUAAAAUUUAUGAGUCAUUACUCAUAUUGCACCAUAA